Small nuclear RNA from Capra hircus (goat), 102 nucleotides. Lineage: Eukaryota; Metazoa; Chordata; Mammalia; Artiodactyla; Bovidae. The record is from Ensembl.
AUGUUUUUCUAGCAACAUAUGCUAGAACUUGGAAUGGUACAGGGAAGGAUUAGCAUGGCCUCUUGACAGGACAUGUAUAUUUAUGAAACAGUCUUUAUAGUU